UACGGAGGGUGCAAGCGUUGUCCGGAAUCACUGGGCGUAAAGGGCGCGUAGGCGGCUCAUGAAGGCUGUGGGGAAAGUCCGGGGCUCAACCUCGGAUCGGCCGUGGCGACUCGUGGGCUGGAGCACUGUAGAGGCGGGUGGAAUUCCGGGUGUAGCGGUGAAAUGCGCAGAUAUCAGGAGGAACACCGGUGGCGAAGGCGGGUCUCUGGGCCGAUAUUGACGCUGAGGAGCGAAAGCGUGGGGAGCGAACAGG
This 253-nucleotide ribosomal RNA is filed under the name uncultured bacterium. Its description in RNAcentral is "partial 16S ribosomal RNA". It matches the Rfam family "Bacterial small subunit ribosomal RNA", at positions 524 to 776 of the family's 1533-position model. The record is from RNAcentral.